RNAcentral lists this ribosomal RNA (505 nucleotides) under uncultured bacterium. RNAcentral describes it as "bacterial SSU rRNA". It matches the Rfam family "Bacterial small subunit ribosomal RNA", at positions 29 to 518 of the family's 1533-position model. The record is from RNAcentral.
AUGAACGCUGGCGGCGUGCUUAACACAUGCAAGUCGAACGAAGCACCUCUAAUCGAAGAUUGAGAAGCUUGCUUUGAUUGAUUCACCUGAGGUGACUGAGUGGCGGACGGGUGAGUAACGCGUGGGUAACCUACCCUAUACAGGGGGAUAACAGUUGGAAACGACUGCUAAUACCGCAUAAGCGCACAGGACCGCAUGGUCUAGUGUGAAAAACUCCGGUGGUAUAGGAUGGACCCGCGUCUGAUUAGCUAGUUGGUGAGGUAACGGCUCACCAAGGCGACGAUCAGUAGCCGACCUGAGAGGGUGACCGGCCACAUUGGGACUGAGACACGGCCCAAACUCCUACGGGAGGCAGCAGUGGGGAAUAUUGCACAAUGGGCGAAAGCCUGAUGCCAGCGACGCCGCGUGAACGAAGAAGUAUUUCGGUAUGUAAAGUUCUAUCAGCAGGGAAGAAAAUGACGGUACCUGACUAAGAAGCUCCGGCUAAAUACGUGCCAGCCGCAGC